RNAcentral lists this transfer RNA (61 nucleotides) under Vibrio cholerae HC-37A1. RNAcentral's name for it is "partial tRNA-OTHER". It matches the Rfam family "tRNA", at positions 1 to 59 of the family's 71-position model. Rfam says of the family: Transfer RNA (tRNA) molecules are approximately 80 nucleotides in length. Their secondary structure includes four short double-helical elements and three loops (D, anti-codon, and T loops). The record is from RNAcentral. Lineage: Bacteria; Pseudomonadati; Pseudomonadota; Gammaproteobacteria; Vibrionales; Vibrionaceae. RNAcentral also lists the same sequence under 3 other names.
GCCGACUUAGCUCAGUAGGUAGAGCAACUGACUUGUAAUCAGUAGGUCACCAGUUCGAUUC